This 433-nucleotide ribosomal RNA is filed under the name uncultured bacterium. RNAcentral's name for it is "partial 16S ribosomal RNA". It matches the Rfam family "Bacterial small subunit ribosomal RNA", at positions 29 to 507 of the family's 1533-position model. The record is from RNAcentral.
AACGAACGCUGGCGGCAUGCCUAACACAUGCAAGUCGAACGAGACCUUCGGGUCUAGGGGCGCACGGGUGCGUAACGCGUGGGAACCUGCCCUUAGGUUCGGAAUAACUCCCCGAAAGGGGUGCUAAUACCGGAUAAUGGCUUCGGACCAAAGAUUUAUCGCCUUUGGAUGGGCACGCGUUGGAUUAGCUAGUUGGUAAGGUAAAAGCCUACCAAGGCGACGAUCCAUAGCUGGUCUGAGAGGAUGACCAGCCACACUGGGACUGAGACACGGCCCAGCCUCUUACGGGCCGCAGUCGUGGGGCAUAUUGGAUAAUGGGACAAACCUUGACCAAGCAACGCCGCGUGAGUUACGCAGGCUUUCGGGUUCUAUAGCUCUCUUACCCGGGCUGAUAAUGACAGUACCGGGAGAAUAAGCUCGGGCUAACUCCGUG